This 492-nucleotide ribosomal RNA is filed under the name uncultured bacterium. RNAcentral describes it as "partial 16S ribosomal RNA". It matches the Rfam family "Bacterial small subunit ribosomal RNA", at positions 29 to 507 of the family's 1533-position model. The record is from RNAcentral.
AGUGAACGCUGGCGGUAGGCCUAACACAUGCAAGUCGAACGGCAGCACAGUAAGAGCUUGCUCUUACGGGUGGCGAGUGGCGGACGGGUGAGGAAUACAUCGGAAUCUACUUUUUCGUGGGGGAUAACGUAGGGAAACUUACGCUAAUACCUCAUACGACCUACGGGUGAAAGCAGGGGAUCUUCGCACCUUGCGCGAUUGAAUUAGCCGAUGUCGGAUUAGCUAGUUGGCGGGGUAAAGGCCCACCAAGGCGACGAUCCGUAGCUGGUCUGAGAGGAUGAUCAGCCACACUGGAACUGAGACACGGUCCAGACUCCUACGGGAGGCAGCAGUGGGGAAUAUUGGACAAUGGGCGCAAGCCUGAUCCAGCAAUACCGCGUGAGUGAAGAAGGCCUUCGGGUUGUAAAGCCCUUUUGUUGGGAAAGAAAAGCAGCAGGUUAAUACCCCGCUGUUCUGACGGUACCCAAAGAAUAAGCACCGGCUAACUUCGUG